UACGUAGGGGGCAAGCGUUUGUCCGGAUUUAUUGGGCGUAAAGAGCGUGUAGGCGGCUUUACAGGUCCGUUGUGAAAACUCGAGGCUCAACCUCGAGACGCCGGUGGAAACCGUAAAGCUAGAGUCCGGAAGAGGAGAGUGGAAUUCCUGGUGUAGCGGUGAAAUGCGUAGAUAUCGGGAGGAACACCUGUGGCGAAAGCGGCGCACUGGACCACAUCUGACGCUGAGGCGCGAAAGCUAGGGGGAGCAAACGGG
Molecule: ribosomal RNA, 255 nt
Filed under: uncultured bacterium
Lineage: Bacteria
Description: partial 16S ribosomal RNA
Rfam family: Bacterial small subunit ribosomal RNA
Source: RNAcentral